GGUCUGAUAGCUCAGUUGGAACGAGCGCUCGCCUGAAAAGCGAGAGGCCUCCGGUUCGAUCCCGGAUCAGACCACAA
This 77-nucleotide transfer RNA is filed under the name Mycolicibacterium aubagnense. Its description in RNAcentral is "tRNA-Phe". It matches the Rfam family "tRNA". Rfam says of the family: Transfer RNA (tRNA) molecules are approximately 80 nucleotides in length. Their secondary structure includes four short double-helical elements and three loops (D, anti-codon, and T loops). Further hydrogen bonds mediate the characteristic L-shaped molecular structure. tRNAs have two regions of fundamental functional importance: the anti-codon, which is responsible for specific mRNA codon recognition, and the 3' end, to which the tRNAs corresponding amino acid is attached (by aminoacyl-tRNA synthetases). tRNAs cope with the degeneracy of the genetic code in two manners: having more than one tRNA (with a specific anti-codon) for a particular amino acid; and 'wobble' base-pairing, i.e. permitting non-standard base-pairing at the 3rd anti-codon position. The record is from RNAcentral. Lineage: Bacteria; Bacillati; Actinomycetota; Actinomycetes; Mycobacteriales; Mycobacteriaceae.